UAACAUCCGGAAACGGGUGCUAAUACCGCAUAGUUUUCUUGAUCGCAUGAUCGGGAAAGGAAAGACGGGCCUUUGUGCUGUCGCUUAUGGAUGGACCCGCGGCGUAUUAGUAGUUGGUGAGGUAACGGCUCACCAAGACGAUGAUACGUAGCCGACCUGAGAGGGUGAUCGGCCACAUUGGGACUGAGACACGGCCCAAACUCCUACGGGAGGCAGCAGUAGGGAAUCUUCCGCAAUGGACGAAAGUCUGACGGAGCAACGCCGCGUGAGUGAAGAAGGGUUUUUUCCGGAUCGUAAAACUCUGUUGUCAGAGAAGAACAAGUUGGAGAGUAACUGCUCCAGCCUUGACGGUAUCUGACCAGAAAGCCACGGCUAACUACGUGCCAGCAGCAGC
RNAcentral lists this ribosomal RNA (394 nucleotides) under uncultured bacterium. Its description in RNAcentral is "bacterial SSU rRNA". It matches the Rfam family "Bacterial small subunit ribosomal RNA", at positions 144 to 518 of the family's 1533-position model. The record is from RNAcentral.